GUAUGGUAUUGGCUUACCGUGGCAGUGACGGUUAACGGGGGAUUAGGGUUCGAUUCCGGAGAGGGAGCCUGAGAAACGGCUACCACAUCUAAGGAAGGCAGCAGGCGCGCAAAUUACCCAAUUCUAAUAGCAAAAGAGAGGUAGUGACAAGAAAUAACAGUACAAGGCAAUUAAAAUGCUUUGUAAUUGGAAUGAUAGAAAUUUAAAUACUUUUUAAAGUAUCAAUUGGAGGGCAAGUCUGGUGCCAGCAGCCGCGGUAAUUCCAGCUCCAAUAGCGUAUAUUAAAAUUGUUGCAGUUAA
This 300-nucleotide ribosomal RNA is filed under the name Hepatozoon cuestensis. Its description in RNAcentral is "SSU rRNA". It matches the Rfam family "Eukaryotic small subunit ribosomal RNA", at positions 328 to 622 of the family's 1831-position model. Lineage: Eukaryota; Apicomplexa; Hepatozoidae. The record is from RNAcentral.